Molecule: ribosomal RNA, 516 nt
Filed under: uncultured bacterium
Lineage: Bacteria
Description: bacterial SSU rRNA
Rfam family: Bacterial small subunit ribosomal RNA
Source: RNAcentral
GAUGAACGCUAGCGAUAGGCCUAACACAUGCAAGUCGAGGGGCAUCACAUGAAGUAGCAAUACGGAUGGUGGCGACCGGCGCACGGGUGAGUAACACGUAUGCAACCUGCCUUCAACAAGGGGAUAACCCGUUGAAAGACGGACUAAUACCCUAUAACACAGGGGUCCCGCAUGGGAAUAUUUGUUAAAGGACAACCGGUUGAAGAUGGGCAUGCGUUCCAUUAGCUAGUUGGCGGGGUAACGGCCCACCAAGGCAACGAUGGAUAGGGGAACUGAGAGGUUUAUCCCCCACACUGGUACUGAGACACGGACCAGACUCCUACGGGAGGCAGCAGUGAGGAAUAUUGGUCAAUGGACGCAAGUCUGAACCAGCCACGUCGCGUGAAGGAAGACGGCCCUACGGGUUGUAAACUUCUUUUAUACGGGAAUAAAGUGCCCCACGCGUGGGGUUUUGCAUGUACCGUAUGAAUAAGGAUCGGCUAACUCCGUGCCAGCAGCCGCGGUAAUUACUGACCU